AUGAAAUUCUAGCCCAAGGUCACACAGCUGGUGUGACAGAAUAGAAUCCACCCUCCAUUCUCAUUCUGGAAUGACAACGAGAUGUUCUUUGGCAGAGGGCUCAGACCAAAUCAAGACUACGCGAUAUAGCCACUAUGUCCUUCUGCUGCUGGGAUCCCUUGGAAUAAAAUCAAGAAAAGACUAAAGGGCCUCAGGGCCUGGGGAGUGAGCAGAUUAACAAGAUAAAAAAAAAUUCUGUGCUAAUACGUUCAUGGGAAAAACCAUCCUGGGAGGAUAUGUAUGUUGUCAGUGGGACCAUCCACACAUGGUCCCCCUCCUAUGACCCUGUCAAUGGCAUUUUCAUGUCCAAGCAGAUGGGAAAAUAUGCGAUGGAGAGCAGACAGGGGAAGGGCCCUCAGCACGCUGCAGAGCACCCCACAUCCAUUUCCAGGCUCUGCUCCACCGGAAAAGCUCUCACUUCCCCUGAUCUGGCUAACUUGAUUCUUCCUUCCGAACUCAGUGUCAGAAUCCCAAUUCUGGACAUUCUCAGCCACUUGCAGAUCCGGGCAUCCCUGCUCUGAGCCCCCGUGGCUGUCUGUAUCACCUGUCUUCGGGCUAACUGUGUGUGGAAUUGAUUCGCCCAUCUGCAUGCUUCCUAGACUACCAAGUGGAAGGAUCGCAACAAUGUCAUUCGAUUUAACAUCUUCAAUACCUAGCCCUGUACCUGGCACACAACAGAUGAAACACCUGGGUCGCAGAGUGGUUAAGUGCCAUGCCGGGCUCGUACAGACUGUAAGCCUCGCUUCUGGGCUUUGAGCUCAGCACUGUAGCCCCAGAGCCUCCGCUGAAUCCAACGACUGCUUCCUGGGGACUUGCAACAAUGCCCUGUGACUUCUGAGAAGAUGAGUAUCCUAUUUGCCAAGUUGGUUCCCCACCCGACCCCGCAGUGGCCACCCAACAGCCUGGCUGAGCCCGCCAUUUCUGUUUCCUCCUCCUAAGACUGCUCGCCCUCUGAUAGGAGCAGCUGAUCCUCUGGAAGGCCCAUGUGGGCAUGGCUGGAGCUGACCUGCCCCUGUCAAGUUCGUAGCAGAGGAAACGAUCCCAGUUUCCCAUCUGACAUCGCCCUUCAUCACCCUAGUUCCUGUGUUCCAGGCACACCUGUCAUGUUUCCACAGAUUCUAAAGCCAUCCAGGCCAAAUGGCUUAUUUGCUUCUUCAAUCCUCCAGUGUUUUUCGCAGUACCAGACCUACUAUGGGAACUCAGUAAACGCAUGUUUAAAGA
Molecule: non-coding RNA, 1260 nt
Organism: Macaca mulatta (Rhesus monkey)
Lineage: Eukaryota; Metazoa; Chordata; Mammalia; Primates; Cercopithecidae
Source: RefSeq, a predicted model, not a curated record